GAUGAACGCUGGCGGCGUGCCUAAUACAUGCAAGUCGAGCGAACAGACGAGGAGCUUGCUCCUUUGACGUUAGCGGCGGACGGGUGAGUAACACGUAGGUAACCUACCUAUAAGACUUGGAUAACUUCGGGAAACCGGAGCUACUACCGGAUAAUAUUUCGAACCGCAUGGUUCGAUAGUGAAAGAUGGCUUUGCUAUCACUUAUAGAUGGACCUGCGCCGUAUUAGCUAGUUGGUAAGGUAACGGCUUACCAAGGCAACGAUACGUAGCCGACCUGAGAGGGUGAUCGGCCACACUGGAACUGAGACACGGUCCAGACUCCUACGGGAGGCAGCAGUAGGGAAUCUUCCGCAAUGGGCGAAAGCCUGACGGAGCAACGCCGCGUGAGUGAUGAAGGUCUUCGGAUCGUAAAACUCUGUUAUUAGGGAAGAACAAACGUGUAAGUAACUGUGCACGUCUUGACGGUACCUAAUCAGAAAGCCACGGCUAACUACGUG
Molecule: ribosomal RNA, 497 nt
Filed under: uncultured bacterium
Lineage: Bacteria
Description: partial 16S ribosomal RNA
Rfam family: Bacterial small subunit ribosomal RNA
Source: RNAcentral